This 375-nucleotide unclassified non-coding RNA is filed under the name uncultured Pseudomonadota bacterium. Its description in RNAcentral is "uncultured proteobacterium contains 16S-23S intergenic spacer region". Lineage: Bacteria; Pseudomonadati; Pseudomonadota. The record is from RNAcentral.
UCCGGUUUAACACCGGCAGUCUCCAUAGAGUGCCCAACUAAAUGAUGGCAACUAGGGAUAAGGGUUGCGCUCGUUAAGGGACUUAACCCGACAUCUCACGAUACGAGCUGACGACAGCCAUGCAGCACCUGUCUCCCGGCCCCCGAAGGGGAAGCCCUGUUUCCAGGGAUGUCCGGGGAUGUCAAACCCAGGUAAGGUUCUUCGCGUAGCAUCGAAUUAAACCACAUGCUCCACCGCUUGUGCGGGCCCCCGUCAAUUCCUUUGAGUUUUAAUCUUGCGACCGUACUCCCCAGGCGGAAUGCUUAAAGCGUUAGCUGCGCCACUGACGAGCAAGCUCGCCAACGGCUGGCAUUCAUCGUUUACGGCGUGGACUAC